RNAcentral lists this signal recognition particle RNA (265 nucleotides) under Candidatus Eiseniibacteriota bacterium. Its description in RNAcentral is "signal recognition particle sRNA large type". It matches the Rfam family "Bacterial large signal recognition particle RNA". Rfam says of the family: The signal recognition particle (SRP) is a universally conserved ribonucleoprotein involved in the co-translational targeting of proteins to membranes. The record is from RNAcentral. Lineage: Bacteria; Candidatus Eiseniibacteriota.
UCGUGCUAGGUGGGGAGUUAGCGGUGCCCUGAACCCGCAAUCCGCUAUAGCGGGACUGAAUUCCUUCUCGAGGCUUGCGUUUUGACGUGCGGGGUAUGGCCCCGGCGGCGUUGAGAAUCAGGUCCGACGCAAUCGAAGCUUGUGAACCCGGUCAGGACCGGAAGGUAGCAGCCGUAAGCGAUACCUUUGGUGUGCCGUUGGUUUGCCUGAUUGGAGUCGGCCGACCGUAUCCGACGUUUUGCGUCUGUCGACAGAAGGUGCACGA